UAACUCAUGGAAUAAACGGAACGGGAAAAAUAACGAAAAAAACGGAGCAAACAGAAUUGCCAUCUGUUAUCGCCUGCGUGAAUCCCGCUAAUUGAGUUACGUGUAUUUGAUUUUGACUGCUUGCCGUUCGCGUGACCCGCGGGACGGUUGAACUUUGCAACCGGGCCUUUCUCGGACUAGACCAGGGGGGAUUGGGCAAUUUAUCGGUUCGAUAUUUUGCACAGGCCUUCUCGUUCAAAAGCAAGUCAACAACUCACCCAGCGCCAGUCGAGCUUUGAGUGCGUAAAUAUGCCGUGAGAUCUCGUUUCGCUGGCAUGCUCUUCCGGGUCUUCUGUUCUCUUCUGCUCAGAUGUGCUAUGGAAACUAAUUCUGGACUGCAACCGGCUGCUAUUUAUAUAGAUAGGGGCCUUAUCGAGUCACGUCCGUUUUGACACUACGUGCUGUUUCGAUUUGACUUCAUGGCAAGUGAACGUGACAAGGUAUUCUCGGCUAUAUGGAAAGACAAGUUUGUUGGGAGCCUAGUUUGGAAUUUCUAAAGUGUCUUGGAGUUUUGGUGAACGAAGUUUCACCAUUUUACGGGCUAAAUGUGGUUGUGGCGUGAGCCACCGAGUGUGACGUCAUCAGAGGAACUGAACCAUUCACAAGGCAGCUUCAGUCAGCUAAUACCCUGUAGAUGUCACGCUGAAUGCAACCCUGCUGGAAGCUUGGAAAUACACACAGGAGUGUAAAGUGCAAUUGAAUUAAGUCAUUGUACGUACAGCAUAAAUUCCCAGUUUCUUUCUUGCUGUACAUCGCAACCGAAAAAACUUGUCGAAUUAACCCAAUCAUUACUGUAAACAGCUCCAUAAAUGCUCCUAUCUCCGAGACUUCACAAAAAAUAACUCUUGCACGCCUUGCGUGCCUAUGUUUUUUUACGUUAUAAAUAACCCUCUACUCCUUAGACUGCCAUCUGUGAAUUUUCGCCGGGGAAAUAGAACAGAUUCGUAUUGCCGGUAUUGGACUGGAAAAAGCUUGCAAUGGAGGCUCAUGCGACUCCCCACAUUAGCCUCAGUUGCAAGCUAGUUUCAGUCCAAUACCGCUAAUACGAAUAUGGUUUAUUGUCUUGUAAAGAUCUGCUCAUUGAAAGCAUAAGAAUGUGACCACGCGGCCAAGUUUCCAAUUUCUUUUUUGAGAUGCACACGGACUGCAGGACUCGUUUCAAAUCAAGCUACAUACCAAGACCUGAGAAAUAGAGCUAUAGUUGAGGGGUAUACCUCAUAUGAAUUUUGAGCGCUGAUAUGCUUUGGAAGUUUUUCAGUUGGACAGUGUGAACACAGGCAGAGUCUUUAUUGGCUGAUUUGGGAGGGAAAACCUGCCGUUCGCAUUAGGGGUACCUUGGUUAAAGCAGCUGCGUUCAAAGUAUUGCUAUUCAUCUCAAAAUAAGUGUGGCCUAGGGCUUGUUACUAGAAACAAUUGGCACAGAUUUCAGUUUUACAAGAUUCUCUGAUAAGAUAAUCCCAAUUUUCCCAGAGGAUUCUUUCCAAUGUCAAUUUUCUCAGAUUCUCAAUAAACUUUCUCAACCUUUGAGGAAUUUUCCCUGAGCACUUAAAUGGGACAGAUUCCAGACUGCAAGAUUUUCAAGUCACUAAAAAAUUUAUUGUCAAUAACAAAUUCUAAGAGUUACAAUGCAACAUAUGUUAACAUAUUAACAUAACAAGACUAAAAGAGACAAUUAUAUCCUCAAUGUUAUGAGAAAUUGGAUCUUGAUAACAAUCUACCAAUAUCAUCUCAUGCAAAAUGGCAGUUAAUCAACC
Long non-coding RNA from Orbicella faveolata, 1793 nucleotides. RefSeq lists it as uncharacterized. The record is from RefSeq and is a predicted model, not a curated record. Lineage: Eukaryota; Metazoa; Cnidaria; Anthozoa; Scleractinia; Merulinidae.